This 72-nucleotide ribosomal RNA is filed under the name Phlebotomus papatasi. RNAcentral's name for it is "partial 28S ribosomal RNA". Lineage: Eukaryota; Metazoa; Arthropoda; Insecta; Diptera; Psychodidae. The record is from RNAcentral.
GGGCCCUAACCACACGUGACUCCCCCCUGAUUUAAAGCAUUUUUAUACGCGGAGGAAAAGAAACUAACCAGG